Molecule: ribosomal RNA, 467 nt
Filed under: uncultured bacterium
Lineage: Bacteria
Description: bacterial SSU rRNA
Rfam family: Bacterial small subunit ribosomal RNA
Source: RNAcentral
UUGCUCUUUCCGGAUGAGUUGCGAACGGGUGAGUAACGCGUAGGUAACCUGCCUGGUAGCGGUAGAUAACUAUUGGAAACGAUAGCUAAUACCGCAUAACAGUAGAUAUCGCCUGAUAGCUGCUUAAAAGGUGCAAUUGCACCACUACCAGAUGGACCUGCGUUGUAUCCCCUAGUUGGUGAGGUAACGGCUCACGCAAGGCCACGAUACAUAGCCGACCUGAGAGGGUGAUCGGCCACACUGAGACUGAGACACGGCCCAUACUCCUACGGGAGGCAGCAGUAGGGAAUCUUCUGCAAUGUGACGGAAGUCUGACCGAGCAACGCCGCGUGAGUGAAGAAGGUUUUCCGAUCGUAAAGCUCCUGUUGUAAGAGAAGAACGACUGUGUGAGUGGUAAGUUCACACUGUUAACAGUAAUCUUACGAAAAAAGGGAAGGCUAAAUAACACACCAACAAACCGCAGUAAU